CGGGACUCGCUCCGUGCUGCUGCUGCCGUGCGAGCGAGCGUGCGGGCGAUUCCCGGCGCGGCGGAGCCCGGGAGCCGGGAUUUGCCCGGCGGCACGGACGGGCCCGGCUGCAGGCCAGGAGCGGGAUGCCCACGCAGCGAACAGCCCCCCUCGGCCUGUGUAUCCCCGGGCUCUCUGCCCCCCACUCAAGCUGGGCGCCCUUGAAUUGUAUCGCCUAGUUGAAGUUUAAUAUUUGGGGAUAGGGAGGAGAGUUUCGGCUUCUGUUGUGGCGUCUUUUCUUUUCCUAGCUCGGGACGGGCAGCCGGGGAGGGGAGGCAGCCGCAGCCCCGCCGCUCGGAGGAGCCGAGCGCGGUCGUCUCGUCGCCUGCCCGGUGCCACGGCCCAAAGGGUGACAGCAAGGACGGUGCGCAGGGCUCCGGCCUGUGUCUCUCCAGAGAAAGGACUUUCCAGAGAAACAAAUCAAGAAAAAAUAACUGACUUAAUUUCCCUCCACCCAGCAACAGUUCUUCAUAGCUGUACACAGGGACCAUGGAGCAGCAAGAAGGGUUGUGUGGGACAGAGGCUCCUCGGGUGCUCCCACUGGCAGGUGAGAAGGCUGUGGAUAGCACACUGUUUCAGUUGCUGCUGAGCAGUGCCUGGACUAAGUUGAGGACUUUUCAGCUCCGCUCCCCAGCCCACCAACAAGUCUGGGAAGCACAAGAAGCUGGGAGAAGACACAGCAGGGACAGCUGAUCCCAACUGGCCAAAGGGAUAUCCUGUAUCAUAUGACACAUGGUCAGUAUGUAAAUUAGGGGGAAGCUGGCCAGGGGCCACUGCUUGGGAACUGGCUGGACACUGGUCAGGGGAUGGUGGGAAAUUGCAUCGGGCAUCACUUCUUUUGUAUGUUCCUUUUUACUUGUACUAUUACUUUGCAUCCUUUUCUGUUCUAUUAAACUGUCUAUAUCUAAACCCAUGGAUUGUACUGUUGUUCCCAAUUCCCUCCCCCAGCCCGUUGCAGUCCAUGAGCAGCUCUGUGGUGCUCAGCUGCCUGCCGGGUUAAACCACGACAGUGUUUACCUACCUUGGGCUGGGCCUCUCCCGCAGCCUCUGCCAGGCCGCUGGUUCCUGCUGCACUAAAUCAGUCCUCCCUGAGUCAAUGGCUCCUCUCAGUCACUCACAGGAGGUGCAAAUCCAGUGGGGCAAAUUAAGCACAGAAAUGCACAGGCAGAGCAGCCAAGUAGCCAGGAGGCUUCGGCAGCUAAAAUUCAAGUGGGUUCAGAAGUUUUUCCUUGCUUUGAUUUGCUCAGAGUUUAUGCUGAAUUCUUUUGAGUAUGGCAUUUCCUAUUUGUUUUCUUCCUCUUCCCUACUGCCCUCCCUUCAGCUAAGCUCAUGCCUGUCAGUUUUUGUACAGUCUGUGCCUCGCUUGUGGUUUCUAACAUGUGGGGGGUUUGCUUUGCAGUAUUUGUGCAGUGAAUGCACUGUGCUUUGUAAGUGUGCUGCAUUUUCCUCUGGCUGCUGUCAAGGUGUCAUGGAGGUUCCCAUUGUAUGGAAGUGCAAGGGGAACUUGUGAGCCUCCUCAUCCAGCAGGGAAACAGAGAAGGAAAAUCUGAUGUCAUAUGCAGUUGUGCUUAUUUCUGCUUUGGUGUGUGAACUGCAUGACUGUUCUUACGUGGAUAAGGGACACAUCAAUGUGACAGAGGCUGGAAGCAUCCCUGCCGACAGUCAGGGCUGGCAUGUUCCUGUUGAACCCCUGUGAGCUGUGUGUCUGUACUGCAUGGCUUCCUCACACCGAGCUGGAUGCAGAAACGUGCUGCAGUUACAGCCAGCUCCUGCUUAGCUCCUCCCCAGUCAGACUCAAAAUGCCUUUGUCAUGGUCAUUCAAGGAUCUGACUUCAGCACCAGUGACUACCAUUACCUCAGUGAGAUGACUGAAUUACUUACACAUGUUCACCUACUGUCAUGCAGGUGUACUUCAACACUGGGCUACAUCCAGAAGAUGCAGCUUGCACCAAGCACUUCCCUAUAGCUGAAGUUUGCAAUGGUAAGGCUAUUGUGGGCUGUGUUUCUCCAUGCCACAAAAUAAAAAUCACCAGGUGGUCCUAGCUACACCUGGCUGCACAUGUA
Non-coding RNA from Lonchura striata (white-rumped munia), 2103 nucleotides. The record is from RefSeq and is a predicted model, not a curated record. Lineage: Eukaryota; Metazoa; Chordata; Aves; Passeriformes; Estrildidae.